AUACGGAGGGUGCAAGCGUUACUCGGAAUCACUGGGCGUAAAGCGCGCGCAGGCGGGCUGAUAAGUUGGAUGUGAAAGCCUACGGCUCAACCGUAGAACUGCAUCCAAAACUGUCAGUCUAGAGUGUGGGAGAGGAAGAUGGAAUUAGUUGGGUAGGGGUAAAAUCCGUAGAGAUAACUAGGAAUACCAAAAGCGAAGGCAAUCUUCUGGAACACUACUGACGCUGAGGCGCGAAGGCGUGGGGAGCAAACAGGAUUAGAUACCCGGGUAGUCC
This 274-nucleotide ribosomal RNA is filed under the name uncultured bacterium. Its description in RNAcentral is "partial 16S ribosomal RNA". It matches the Rfam family "Bacterial small subunit ribosomal RNA", at positions 523 to 796 of the family's 1533-position model. The record is from RNAcentral.